This 408-nucleotide ribosomal RNA is filed under the name uncultured bacterium. Its description in RNAcentral is "partial 16S ribosomal RNA". It matches the Rfam family "Bacterial small subunit ribosomal RNA", at positions 28 to 526 of the family's 1533-position model. The record is from RNAcentral.
GACGAACGCUGGCGGCGUGCCUAAUACAUGCAAGUCGAGCGGAGCGGCGGAUGGGUGAGUAACGCGUGGUUAACCUGCCCUUCAGUCUGGGAUACCAUUUGAAAACAGAUGCUAAUACCGGAUACUCAGGGAUGGACCUGGGAUGCAUUAGCUAGUUGGUAAGGUAACGGCUUACCAAGGCGAUGAUGCAUAGCUGGGUUGAGAGACUGAUCGGCCACAUUGGGACUGAGACACGGCCCAAACUCCUACGGGAGGCAGCAGUAGGGAAUCUUCCACAAUGGACGAAAGUCUGAUGGAGCAACGCCGCGUGAGUGAAGAAGGCUUUCGGAUCGUAAAGCACUGUUGUUGGGGAAGCGGUAAUCAACCAGAAAGGCACGGCUAACUACGUGCCAGCAGCCGCGGUAAUUC